AAACUUUACAAUGCGGGAAACCGUGAUAAGGGGACACCGAGUGCCAGCAACAUUUGUUGGCUGUCCAGGUGUGUAAACUACACCUGUUAGCAAGGCCGGGCAAGACCGGUGCCAGCCGCCGCGGUAACACCGGCGGCCCGAGUGGUGAUCGUGAUUAUUGGGUCUAAAGGGUCCGUAGCCGGUUUGGUCAGUCCUCCGGGAAAUCUGACGGCUUAACCGUUAGGCUUUCGGGGGAUACUGCCAGGCUUGGAACCGGGAGAGGUAAGAGGUACUACAGGGGUAGGAGUGAAAUCUUGUAAUCCCUGUGGGACCACCUGUGGCGAAGGCGUCUCACCAGAACGGACCUGACGGCAAGGGACGAAAGCUAGGGGCACGAACCGGAUUAGAUACCCGGGUAG
Molecule: ribosomal RNA, 398 nt
Filed under: uncultured archaeon
Lineage: Archaea
Description: bacterial SSU rRNA
Rfam family: Archaeal small subunit ribosomal RNA
Source: RNAcentral